CCUACGGGGGGCAGCAGUGGGGGAUAUUGCACAAUGGGGGGAACCCUGAUGCAGCGACGCCGCGUGGGUGAAGAAGCGCCUCGGCGCGUAAAGCCCUGUCAGCAGGGAAGAAAAUGACGGUACCUGAAGAAGAAGCCCCGGCUAAGUACGUGCCAGCAGCCGCGGUCAUACGUAGGGGGCACGAGUGAUCCGGAUUUACUGGGUGGAAGGGGGGCGCAGACGGCGAUGCAAGCCAGGAGUGAAAGCUCGGGGCCCAACCCCGGGACUGCUCUUGAAACUGGGUGGCUGGAGUGCAGGAGAGGCAGGCGGAAUUCCUGGUGUAGCGGUGAAAUGCGUAGAUAUCAGGAGGAACACCGGUGGCGAAGGCGGCCUGCUGGACUGCAACUGACGUUGAGGCCCGAAAGCGUGGGGAGCAAACAGGAUUAGAUACCCUUGUAGUC
RNAcentral lists this ribosomal RNA (440 nucleotides) under uncultured bacterium. RNAcentral describes it as "partial 16S ribosomal RNA". It matches the Rfam family "Bacterial small subunit ribosomal RNA", at positions 338 to 795 of the family's 1533-position model. The record is from RNAcentral.